GAUUUAAGAGAAUGUGGUGAUGACGAUUCUUCUACAAAUCUGAAGUCAGAAAUGUCCGGGUUUGCUGAACCUUCACAACUGCCUACUUCCAUGAAGAAGGAGAUAAAAGAGGAGGAAUUUGAUGCUUUCCUACAAGAGUAUCCGUCUACAUUGAAGACAGUGGAAGAAAAGCCUGGACUGGAAUAUGAAUGCAAGACCGAAAUGUACACGUCUACCAUCAUGACCUUGAAAGAAGAAAAGUGUUCACCAAUGGAAAUCAAA
Long non-coding RNA from Clupea harengus (Atlantic herring), 261 nucleotides. RefSeq lists it as uncharacterized. Lineage: Eukaryota; Metazoa; Chordata; Actinopteri; Clupeiformes; Clupeidae. The transcript is spliced from 2 exons. The record is from RefSeq and is a predicted model, not a curated record.